RNAcentral lists this ribosomal RNA (372 nucleotides) under uncultured cyanobacterium. Its description in RNAcentral is "bacterial SSU rRNA". It matches the Rfam family "Bacterial small subunit ribosomal RNA", at positions 377 to 763 of the family's 1533-position model. Lineage: Bacteria; Bacillati; Cyanobacteriota. The record is from RNAcentral.
GAAAGCCUGACGUAGCGACACCGCGUGAGCGAAGAAGCCCUUUGGGGUGUAAAGCUCUGUCAGCAGGGACGAAAAAAAUGACGGUACCUGCAGAGGAAGCAUCGGCUAACUACGUGCCAGCAGCCGCGGUAAGACGUAGGAUGCAAGCGUUGUCCGGAUUUAUUGGGCGUAAAGAGUUCGUAGGCGGUUUGUUAAGUCUGGUGUUAAAGAUCAGGGCUCAACCCUGGGACCGCACUGGAUACUGGCAGACUGGAGUGCAGUAGAGGCGAGUGGAAUUCCCAGUGUAGCGGUGAAAUGCGUAGAUAUUGGGAAGAACACCGGUGGCGUAAGCGACUCGCUGGGCUGUAACUGACGCUGAGGAACGAAAGCCAG